AUACGUAGGGGGCGAGCGUUGUCCGGAAUGAUUGGGCGUAAAGGGCGCGUAGGCGGCGCGGUAAGUCUGGAGUGAAAGUCCUGCUUUCAAGGUGGGAAUUGCUUUGGAUACUGCCGCGCCUGAGUGCAGGAGAGGUUAUCGGAAUUCCCGGUGUAGCGGUGAAAUGCGUAGAGAUCGGGAGGAACACCAGUGGCGAAGGCGGGUAACUGGACUGCAACUGACGCUGAGGCGCGAAAGUGUGGGGAGCAAACAGGAUUAGAUACCCUGGUAGUCCACACUGUAAACGAUGAAUGCUAGGUGUAAGAGGUAUCGACCCCUUUUGCGCCGGAGUCAACACAAUAAGCAUUCCGCCUGGGGAGUACGGCCGCAAGGUUGAAACUCAAAUGAAUUGACGGGG
Molecule: ribosomal RNA, 397 nt
Filed under: uncultured bacterium
Lineage: Bacteria
Description: partial 16S ribosomal RNA
Rfam family: Bacterial small subunit ribosomal RNA
Source: RNAcentral